RNAcentral lists this ribosomal RNA (497 nucleotides) under uncultured bacterium. RNAcentral's name for it is "partial 16S ribosomal RNA". It matches the Rfam family "Bacterial small subunit ribosomal RNA", at positions 28 to 507 of the family's 1533-position model. The record is from RNAcentral.
GAUGAACGCUGGCGGCGUGCCUAAUACAUGCAAGUCGAGCGAACAGACGAGGAGCUUGCUCCUCUGACGUUAGCGGCGGACGGGUGAGUAACACGUGGAUAACCUACCUAUAAGACUGGGAUAACUUCGGGAAACCGGAGCUAAUACCGUAUAAUAUAUUGAACCGCAUGGUUCAAUAGUGAAAGACGGUUUUGCUGUCACUUAUAGAUGGAUCCGCGCCGCAUUAGCUAGUUGGUAAGGUAACGGCUUACCAAGGCAACGAUGCGUAGCCGACCUGAGAGGGGGAUAGGCCACACUGGAACUGAGACACGGUCCAGACGCCUACGGGAGGCAGCAGUAGGGAAUCUUCCGCAAUGGGCGAAAGCCUGACGGAGCAACGCCGCGUGAGUGAUGAAGGUCUUCGGAUCGUAAAACUCUGUUAUUAGGGAAGAACAAAUGUGUAAGUAACUAUGCACGUCUUGACGGUACCUAAUCAGAAAGCCACGGCUAACUACGUG